CCUACGGGAGGCAGCAGUGGGGAAUAUUGGGCAAUGGGCGCAAGCCUGACCCAGCAACGCCGCGUGAAGGAAGAAGGCUUUCGGGUUGUAAACUUCUUUUGUCAGGGAAGAGUAGAAGACGGUACCUGACGAAUAAGCCACGGCUAACUAAGUGCCAGCAGCCGCGGUAAUACGUAGGUGGCAAGCGUUGUCCGGAUUUACUGGGUGUAAAGGGCGUGUAGCCGGGUUGACAAGUCAGAUGUGAAAUCCUGCGGCUUAACCGCAGAACUGCAUUUGAAACUGGUGAUCUUGAGUACUGGAGAGGCAGACGGAAUUCCUAGUGUAGCGGUUAAAUGCGUAGAUAUUAGGAGGAACACCAGUGGCGAAGGCGGUCUGCUGGACAGCAACUGACGGUGAGGCGCGAAAGCGUGGGGAGCAAACAGGAUUAGAUACCCCAGUAGUC
RNAcentral lists this ribosomal RNA (442 nucleotides) under uncultured bacterium. RNAcentral describes it as "partial 16S ribosomal RNA". It matches the Rfam family "Bacterial small subunit ribosomal RNA", at positions 338 to 795 of the family's 1533-position model. The record is from RNAcentral.